RNAcentral lists this ribosomal RNA (253 nucleotides) under uncultured bacterium. RNAcentral's name for it is "partial 16S ribosomal RNA". It matches the Rfam family "Bacterial small subunit ribosomal RNA", at positions 524 to 776 of the family's 1533-position model. The record is from RNAcentral.
UACGGGGGGGGCAAGCGUUGUUCGGAAUUACUGGGCGUAAAGGGCUCGUAGGCGGCCAACUAAGUCAGACGUGAAAUCCCUCGGCUUAACCGGGGAACUGCGUCUGAUACUGGAUGGCUAGAGGUUGGGAGAGGGAUGCGGAAUUCCAGGUGUAGCGGUGAAAUGCGUAGAUAUCUGGAGGAACACCGGUGGCGAAGGCGGCAUCCUGGACCAAUUCUGACGCUGAGGAGCGAAAGCCAGGGGAGCAAACGAG